UGCCUUGAGACUGCCAUGCCAUGACAAACCACAGGGAGAGAGCACGGCCAAGGAGAAGCAGAGUACCAAGCACGUGAGUAUGAAGCCAUCUUGCCUGUCCAGCCCAGUGGAGGAGCUUCAGAUGACUCCAGCCUCCGCUGCCGUCUGACUAUAACUACAUGAGAGACUCCAAUGAACCUGCAGGAGGAGAAGAAAUACACCAUGGUCGGGAAAAUGACACCCAG
This is a long non-coding RNA of Ailuropoda melanoleuca (giant panda), 224 nucleotides long. RefSeq lists it as uncharacterized. The record is from RefSeq and is a predicted model, not a curated record. NCBI's taxonomy places the organism in Eukaryota, Metazoa, Chordata, Mammalia, Carnivora, Ursidae. The transcript is spliced from 3 exons.